This is a long non-coding RNA of Coregonus clupeaformis (lake whitefish), 571 nucleotides long. RefSeq lists it as uncharacterized. Lineage: Eukaryota; Metazoa; Chordata; Actinopteri; Salmoniformes; Salmonidae. The record is from RefSeq and is a predicted model, not a curated record. The transcript is spliced from 3 exons.
AGGAGGACCUGGUGACUGUAAUGGUGGAUAUUAUCAUCAUGUGAUCUGUUCAGAGUCUGUGCAGCUUGUGGAUGGAGCUGGCCUCUGCUCUGGGAGACUGGAGGUGAAGUCCAAUCAGUCCUGGGCCUCAGUGUGUGAAGCUGACUUUGACCAGCAGGAUGCAGAGGUAGUCUGUGGGGAGCUUGGCUGUGGGGCUCCUGCAGCUCUACAGGGGGGGCUCUAUGGAGAAGGUGAGGAGGGUCAGACCUGGGAUAAAGAGUUCCAGUGUAAAGGCAAUGAGUCCCUUCUCCUGGACUGUGACACCUCAGACAGAAAAAACAACACCUGCCUACCUGGUAAUGCUGUUGGACUCACCUGCUCAGAGCCUGAUGAUGUGAGGCUGGUGGGAGGAGGCAGUCGCUGUGCUGGUGGAGUGGAGCGGUACUACCAGGGAGAGUGGAGGACUGUGGGAGCUGUAGACAGGAACAAGGAGGCUGUAGCUGCAGUAGUGUGUAGACAGCUGGGUUGUGGCUCCACUGUUUCAGUACUACCUGGAAACACCACUAGAGGGUUUAGAGUUUGUUGUUCUGGG